Molecule: non-coding RNA, 864 nt
Organism: Equus caballus (horse)
Lineage: Eukaryota; Metazoa; Chordata; Mammalia; Perissodactyla; Equidae
Source: RefSeq, a predicted model, not a curated record
GGUCUGUACCUGGGAACCGCAUCUGGGCCGCCAAAGUGGAAUGUGCUGAACUUAACCACUAUGCUCCCAGGGGUGGCCUUUGGCAUCUUUUCCAUCAAGCUGUGUUUCCAGAUUGCUGGUGGCCUAGUUGGAUAUGAGCAAAGAAAGAGCACCUUUGAGAAAUGAAGAGAAGCAGAAGAGAAAAGAGCAGGAAGUGUGCUUGGUCCCUUGCUUACCCUAUUGACUCGGACUUUCAUCAGACUCAAGCUAGACCCGCUCUUAGCUUGUUUCUAAGUGUUUACACAUCAUCUGAGUCUGUCAGCAAGAAAGGCAGAAAUUGAAGCAACUUUUUCUGUAUUAGAGAAUUCUGCCGUUCAGCCCUGCGAGAGCCCCUUACCUGCUGCGUCUCCCAUCUCCAAGACAGAGACGGAACACCUGUUCUUCCCCACUGCGCGAGUAGUUGUGGUUGAUGCCAUGUUGUCUCUCCCUGUAGGGCAAGAAAGGGAAUAGAAUGAGAUUACUGAAGAGUCAUGGCUCUCUGUGGAGAAGGAAAAGGGUUGGAAGUCAUCAGGUAUGAUCUUGCUGUUGAAAGUGUAAUUCGUGGGCCAGCAGCAUCAGCUUCGCCUGGGAGCUUGUCAGAAACGCAAGAAUCUCAGGCCCCAGCCAGACCUACCACAUUGGGCUCUGCAUUUUAACAAGAUCCCAGGAAAGAAAACACAGUAUAUCUUUAUCAUCCUUAAUCCUGAGGUUGAAAAUUGAGACUGGUUGUGGAUUUUGCAUGGGGAUAGGACAGCAAUUAUGAUUGCUUCAAGUAUCACAGUACUAGUAACAACAAUGACAAAACCAAUGUAUUAAAUACGACUAAAUAGCCAUGUAAUUUACAAA